Molecule: small RNA, 125 nt
Filed under: Marmota monax (woodchuck)
Lineage: Eukaryota; Metazoa; Chordata; Mammalia; Rodentia; Sciuridae
Source: RNAcentral
GCUGGGUGCGGUGGCGCACACCUGUAAUCUGAACGGCUUGGGAGGCUGAGGCAGGAGGAUCACGAGUUCAAAGCCAGCCUCAGCAAAAGUGAGGUGCUAAGCAACUCAGUGAGACCCUGUCUCUA